CAGAGAGCAAGUGUCUGCGAGCGAGAGCAGUGGCAGCCCUCCCUGGGUCCCAGCCCCUGUGUUCUGGGUCCUUCAUUGCCUGUGUCCCCCACUCUGUCCCCAGGGCAGAGCCAGCCAGCCCCCCCUUCAUCCCCAGGGCCCAGUGGCUGUGGGCACCAUUACCAGCAUCGUUCUGGAAAGUCCAGGUGCUCAAAGCCCAGAGGACCUUCUAUUCAAAGAGAGCAGAUUUGAGGUUUGAGCAAACCCAGCUCACCAGCAAGUCAACGUAGCUUGGUCAAGCAGAGAUGAGCCAAAACUUUGGAAAGAAUCAUCUCAGAAAACCAAGUGCUGUAUCUCCUACCCAUUUAAAAAAUAUGUCUCCCAGUUUUUGUAAACACUCAUAACCAGGAAACAUUUGCUGUGCUUAUACAUGUUAAAAGCUUUUUACAAAUUCUGAGAAAACACUGGAUUUGGUCAGACUGUCUUUUCUUCGGUGAUGUUUGG
This 483-nucleotide long non-coding RNA is filed under the name Ursus maritimus (polar bear). RNAcentral describes it as "lncRNA (ENSUMAG00000022467.1)". Lineage: Eukaryota; Metazoa; Chordata; Mammalia; Carnivora; Ursidae. The record is from RNAcentral.